UGAACGCUGGCGGCAUGCCUAACACAUGCAAGUCGAACGGAAACGAUGGAAGCUUGCUUCCAGGCGUCGAGUGGCGGACGGGUGAGUAAUACUUAGGAAUCUGCCCAUUAGUGGGGGACAACUCGAGGAAACUCGAGCUAAUACCGCAUACGCCCUACGGGGGAAAGCGGAGGACCUUUCGGGGCUUCGCGCUAAUGGAUGAGCCUAAGUCGGAUUAGCUUGUUGGUGAGGUAAAGGCUCACCAAGGCGACGAUCCGUAGCUGGUCUGAGAGGACGAUCAGCCACACUGGGACUGAGACACGGCCCAGACUCCUACGGGAGGCAGCAGUGGGGAAUAUUGGACAAUGGGGGCAACCCUGAUCCAGCAAUGCCGCGUGUGUGAAGAAGGCCUGCGGGUUGUAAAGCACUUUCAGUAGAGAAGAAAAGCCUAUGGUUAAUACCCGUGGGUCUUGACGUUACCUACAGAAGAAGCUCCGGCUAACUCC
This 485-nucleotide ribosomal RNA is filed under the name uncultured bacterium. Its description in RNAcentral is "bacterial SSU rRNA". It matches the Rfam family "Bacterial small subunit ribosomal RNA", at positions 30 to 504 of the family's 1533-position model. The record is from RNAcentral.